AACCAGAUUGAUUCUGUCUGACGUGGAUGCUAGUCUCAUAGGUUAAGCCAUGCAUGUGCAAGCGAAGCGUAAGUGGAGCGGCGCAAGGCUCAGUAACGGGCGAGUAUUUGAUCUCCUAGAGUGGAUAUCCUCUGUAACCGGAGGGCAAAACACAAGAUGAGCGAUUGACGAGCUCGUUCGUUUAACGAAUAGUGUAGGGGAGAGUAAGAAGCCAUCCCAUCAGUUAGUAAGUAGGGUAAGGGCCUACUUAGACGAAGACGGGUACGGGGAAUUAUCGUUUGAUUCCGGAGAGGGAGCCUGAGAGACGGCUACCAGGUCCAAGGACAGCAGCAGGCGCGAAAAUUACCGCAGCCUGCGUUCAGGGCGGUAGUAAGGAGACGUGAAAACAAUGUGCGGGCAAAAAACGCACUAGAUACAGGAGGACAAGACUGGUGCCAGCACCCGCGGUAAUACCAGCUCCUGGAGUGUCUAUGAUGAUUGCUGCAGUUAAAGAGUUCGUAGUCGAAGUGGUUAUAACGGCGUAACAGGCCUUCUCUCAAGGAGGGUUAUGCGCCGUGAUUCCAUGGAAUAAGGAGCGUUUAGGGGCCAGGUUAUUAAGCGACGAGGGGUGAAAUCUGGUGACUCGCUUAGGAGCAACAGAGGCGAAAGCGCUGGCCAGGAGCGAAUCCGAUGAUAAAGGACGUAGGCUAGAGGAUCGAAGACGAUUAGAGAGACCGUUGUAGUUCUAGCAGUAAACGAUGCCGAUACCGUGGUGCGGAUAGGCGACGCGGAAGAAAAAUCGAGUAGGGCCCUGGGGAGAGUACACGCGCAAGCGAGAAAUUUAAAGGAAAUUGACGGAAGAACACCACAAGGAGUGGAGUGUGCGGCUUAAUUUGACUCAACGCGGGACAGCUUACCAGGCCCGACGGCCGGACGAGUGUUGUACACGAUAGGUCGAAGAGUGGUGCAUGGCCGUUACGACGAGUGAGGUGACUUUUGGGUUAAAUCCGGGAAGUAGUGAGACCCCUACCGAAAGGGACAGGUGCCGAAAGCACAGGAAGGAAGGGUCAAGAACAGGUCAGUGAUGCCCUCAGAUGGUCUGGGCUGCACGCGCACUACAGUGGUCAUAGAAAUGAAACGAUAGAAUUAAAGAUGAUCGAGAGGGAAUGAGCUUUGUAAGAGGCUCAGGAACGAGGAAUUGCUAGUAAUCGCGGACUCAUUAAGACGCGAUGAAUACGUCCCUGUUCUUUGUACACACCGCCCGUCGUUAUCGAAGAUGGAGUCAGGCGCGAACAAGCGAGAGCGAGUGAGUGCAGGAUUCUAGAUGUGAUACAAGUCGUAACAAGGUAGCUGUAGGAGAACCUGUAGCUGGAUCAGAA
RNAcentral lists this ribosomal RNA (1358 nucleotides) under Glugea plecoglossi. Its description in RNAcentral is "Microsporidia small subunit ribosomal RNA". It matches the Rfam family "Microsporidia small subunit ribosomal RNA". Lineage: Eukaryota; Fungi; Microsporidia; Glugeidae. The record is from Rfam by way of RNAcentral.